This 131-nucleotide ribosomal RNA is filed under the name uncultured bacterium. Its description in RNAcentral is "partial 16S ribosomal RNA". It matches the Rfam family "Bacterial small subunit ribosomal RNA", at positions 202 to 334 of the family's 1533-position model. The record is from RNAcentral.
CUUCGGACCUCGCGCUAUUGGAUGAGCCUAAGUCGGAUUAGCUUGUAGGUAGGGUAACGGCCUACCUAGGCGACGAUCCGUAGCUGGUCUGAGAGGACGAUCAGCCACACUGGGACUGAGACACGGCCCAG